GGGGUGUGUGUGAGAAGGAGGGAGACGUGUGUACACUCCAGCCCUAACCAUGAUCACCCUCUGGCCACCAAGACUUGGAGCAGCAACUUCUGUCCCACUGGAAUGUUUUUUAAGCACAGGCCACUUUUUUACUAUAAACUAAACCGCAGUCUGUCCUUGGAACUGGCCAUCCCGCUGCCGCCAACGCAUCAGGGCCUGGCUGCGGCAUCAAGCCCGGUGCUUCCCCAGGCCGGCGGAUGGCUGAGGACGCGGCCGGGACAAGGCCCUUCCUGCCUCGUGGGAACACGCAUGUUCCCGGCGGCACACUCCUCCCCGCGCACCCGUGACACCCACAGCCAGGGGGACGGUGUCCGUGGACACACACGGGGGCAGUGGGAGGAGAGAGCCUAGCCCGACAGGUGACAGGCCACCUCAGCAGCUCUCACGGGCCAGAGAACAGUGUGGCAGCAUGGACAGCAGCGAGAAGACUCGCCGUCUGCCUGGUGUGGAAAGUGCGCCGCGCCCCUCCUCGGAGACAGCCUCUGCCUGUUUCUGUGCCGCCGUCAGGGAGCCAGCGCUGGGAAUAAUCGGCCUCACCUCCGUGGCCUCGGAGAUCGCUCUGGAGCUAAGCGCUGACGUCAGCAGCAGGGCUGAGCACAAACAACACAGCCAGGCGCCAAGAGAACCAGGCGAGGGGACCCGGGGACGGCGCCACUGCGUGGUGCCCUGAAAGGGGAGCAGGUACCACGGCACCGCCCCGAGACCGUGUGUGGGGGCCGUGGCUGGAAUGGGACCUGCACCCCACCUGCCUGAAGGGCUGUCAGUCAAGAAGGAAGAUGGGACCCAGCAAACAGAAGCCACGACCCCCAGGGCCCUGGACGGACGCUGCCAACGCACCAGCAGUAAACACAAGGGCCUGCAAGGCUCACCCCCGGGGCCACCCCCCCAGCAGGUGGUGACGGAUGCCCACAGCUGGGGACAGUGCGGCAGACCAGCUUAGGCCCGGCAGAUAGAAACGCUCUGAUGGCCAUGGACGCCGUGGUGGGCAGAGAAGAAAUCCAGGCAGCCCCUCCCCUCUACGCCUAACCCCAGCAUCCGUGGGAAUCACCCACGGUCUUCAACCUCAGAGAGGAAGCUCUGACACAAUCUGACUUGCAGAGGCUCCCCAGCAAAGCUCCCAGCACCGCGCGUGCGGCUGCCUGCACUUCCUCCGCGUACCCUGCACGCCAAGGGUGAGCCCACUAAUGCACAGAACUGGGACGAACUUGAGGGGCAGAUACCAGACGGCGGAGGCUGGGCUGGCACCGUGUCAGCUCCCCACUGGAAGUCUCCUGGUGCUCAGGCCUCUCCAGCAGGAGCCUCCCAACCCCCCAUUUGUGGCUCCUCCUCAUCCUGCUGAAGUAACCACAGAUCCCUCCCGAGGCACGCGCUGGCCCUUCUGCUGGGAGCCGUGCCAUGCAGUGGAACAGUCAGAAGCAGGCCAGGAUGAUGUGCCAGGAACCCGCCUCACCGCAGGCCUGUGACGGUGUCAGGCUGAGUCUGCACCAAGCCCAGCCCCACUACCUUCUCCAAAGCUGGUCUGUCUCUGAGAGUCAAGGACAAAGCCUCCCCCCACUUUUCACAAGCAGCACCCCUUGACAGAGGAAAGUUGGCCGGGUGUGGUGGCUCAUGCCUGGAACAGCCCUUUGGAGGCUGCAGGAGGAGGACUGCUUGAGGUCGGCAGUUCACGACCAGCCUGGGCAACAUGAUGGACAAGAGUGCUUCUGGCCACAACAACAAAGGUUAAUUCCAGCCCAGAGGGUUCCGAGCCGUAACCAACACAAGAAGAGACGUGCCCAGACCAAUGGCCCCAGGCAGAACGGCGCCUUCGGCCAUGGGCUCUGCGCGGUGCCCGAGAGCACCUGCCAGCCUGUUUGAUUCCUGACACCCACAGACGUGCACCAAACACAGGCCUGAGUGGCCAGGACCACACAGCACAAGUGGGCGCCCCUCGCAGCAGCGACCUCCGGCCGAGACUCACCUGCCUUCUGCUCCAAGGGCCCGGCACCCUGAGAUCCUGAUGCCAGGGUAAGACGGGGGGCUGCUCAUGGUCGAGGACACGGGUGGGUGCUCCUGAACAGCGAGUGGCCCCAGGGGUGGAUGCGUGGGGGCUCAGGCGCAGGCAGCCGUGGGGGGCAUCACCACCUCAGACCCACGGCAGUCCCCUAAGGCAGCUCAGGAGCUCCGGCCACCUGAACUGCCCGUCCAUGGGCAGGACUACUCCUAUGGGCAGCACAGUGGGUGCAGAGCCGGGGGCUGGGGGUGAGACCCUUGGCUGGUAGAAGCUGCCUGCCAAGUGUCAGCAGAGACUCAGCAGCUAGGAGGCCCUUGGAGCCCCUACCGUACUGAGGGCACAGCACGCACUGCCGUCCUCAGAGGCCAAGGCCACAGGCAUAAGAGGAUCACCCAGCUGGGGGCUUGUGUGUGCCUGAUAUUAAUAGCGCUGGCUUUGCCUGGUGUGGCCCUGACAAUCCUCGGGCCAGCCCUUGGUGUGAACUGCCCCCUCCUGUGUGUGCGCUGGCACAUUCGGCCAGCCUAGGGCCGCAGGCUUGCGGAGGACCACCCUGCCCCAUGUGCCUGCACCCCUCCUGGAUCCCCUGGAAAAAGCUACAGUCCCCUGGCCUGCCUGGGGCUACAGAGUGAACCCCCGACAGCAGGACAGGGAAAUCUGAGGCGCCUCUUGGCCAGAUGUCCCGAACAUCAGUGCUGAGCUGGGCACCCCAUCCCUAGCCCCAAAGUGCUUCCGACAGGCGUAAACAAAUCUGAAACUCCACCCCCUGGCACCAUCUGAAAAUAACUGCCCUGCCCUGCCCCCACUCACGGGGGAUCCUGCAGGGACCUGCAACCACCCAGGGCUCACCACCCAGGGCUCAGCAGAGCACAGCGGACACAGUCACCUCUCCGAGAGCCCACAGAAACGGGGGUUCCGCCCCACCCUCAGCAGUUUGUCAAGGAUGUGCACAGAGAGGUCCUGGCAGCCCUAAGCUCUCCCGGGGCGGACAGGUCACCAUGGGAGUCAGCCUCCUCCUACCAUGGGUUUCUCUUGGAGCUUCUAGUACUGAGGCAGGGGCUGCCAGGAGCUCAGGGAAAAGGGAAGACUCCACACGGAGGUCACACUCCUGGGAGCUGCCUCAGAGGCAGGACUGGCCCAUCUGUCUGUCCACAGGUGCUUCCUCUCCUCAUUCUGCUCCCCGGAGGCGGCUACACCCCUCAUCUGGGAAGUGGGCAGGAGACAGCCCAGGGUCGGGGGAGGCAGAGGCUGUCCUGAGCAGGGGCGCGGAGCCUGGGCUCCUGGGAGCCGUGUCACUGGCUGGGCUGUCUGAACAGCAGAGUGGACUCAGGUUGGUCUACCUGGCAUGGGCAUGCUCUGGUUGCCCCAGCUGGCCAAGAGACCCGUGGAAGCCAACACUAUGCUGGCCAGGCCAGGGACGCACGAGCCCAGGUAUGCAGCUGUGAAUGGAACCACCAGGCCCCACCCUGGAAUCACGCUGCCUCGCUGCAGACCACGUGGUCCCCAACAUGCCCCUCCAGGAGGCUGCUCUCGGCCACAGCAGCCCACGGCAGGAAGGGGCCGCUCCCAGCGGGGAGGGGUGGCCUGCCCUGGUCCCAUUCACUGGUGUUCCUCCCAGGUUCUGACUUGCUGAGCUGGGCGGGUCCGGAGAACUCCCAUUCCCACGCCACCCACAGGUGCUGACACCGCGUUGGGGUAAGCACUGCCCAGGGUACCUUCUGCCUAAGGUUUCCUCCUUGCAGGUGAGGCUGAGGCCAGUGGUGCUGGAGGCUGCCUUAGCCACUUCUGGGCACCUCUUGCCCCUCCCUCACCUUCAGCCAUCCUACUCUGGGCCACAGCACAGUCGAGUGUGGCUCAGACCCCUCCACGGAGCCAUGGCUUGCCUCAGUUUCCUCCCCAAGGACAACAGCAGGUGCAUUACAGGUGGGCCGGCUCACAAAGACCAAGGCAGACGCCUCAUCGGUGAUAAGGGCACCAUAAGUGUCGUCAUCGUAAAGAAACAAGCACAGGCGGCCGGGCGCAGGGCUCACGCCUGGAAUCCCAGCACCAGCUCACAAAGACCAAGGCAGACGCCUCAUCAGUGCAGGACCUGCUCUGCACAGGUCAUGGGCAGCCUCCCUCUGCUCCCCACUUCCACAGCUCCAGACUCCAUCUCAACCACAGCCAGGAGUCACUGCUAACACCACAAAGGACCUGUUCCUGCACCAGCAUGGGCCAGCUCUCGGGCAGGUGCCCGGGACAGAGUCACGAGUGACAAGCAGACAGUAAACAACGGGCGAGACGGACAGACUGACUGCUGGGAUGACACGGCAGGCGGAACUGGAAUGGUGCUGGAGGAGCCCCAGCCCUGGGGACAGACCUCCACCUGUGCACAGACCUCCAAGCUGGAGCCUGCUCUGGAACACCAAGGGCAGCACCAGAGGUUGAAGAGGGGCAGACGCAGGAAUGCUGGGGGACACACUCGGGGAACAGUGAGAAAAGCCCUAGGCUGGGGCAGAGGAAGUCCGCAAUGGUACAAGCAUCAAGACACAAAGUGCAAGAAAUUUGCCUAAGACAAGAGGCAGUUCCAGGGCAGACCGGGGCCCCUGGAGAAGGGUGCCGCAAUCUAUCCUCCUGUCCCUUGGUAACCACACCAAACAAAGAUAACAGCAGUCUCUGCCUCCUCAGACACCGCGAGGACCACUGUGCCCAGCCCACUGUCUGUGCACAGGGCAGGCCCAGAUGGCUGCUGCCACCAACCUGUGUUAUCUGGGAAUGCCUUUAUCAAGAGCCCUCAGUGCUUGUCUAGCAUUGGCCUGCCCCACCUUGGGUUAAAUCAAAGCCUCUUUGGUGGCUGGGCACGGUGGUUCAUGCCUGUAAUCCCACGGAGGCUGAGGCAGGCAGAUCACUUAAAGUCAGGAGUUCGAGACCAGCCUGGACAACAUGACAAAAUACCUGUCUAC
This is a non-coding RNA of Macaca mulatta (Rhesus monkey), 4971 nucleotides long. The record is from RefSeq and is a predicted model, not a curated record. NCBI's taxonomy places the organism in Eukaryota, Metazoa, Chordata, Mammalia, Primates, Cercopithecidae.